Non-coding RNA from Mytilinidion resinicola, 88 nucleotides. Lineage: Eukaryota; Fungi; Ascomycota; Dothideomycetes; Mytilinidiales; Mytilinidiaceae. The record is from the annotation of a RefSeq genome assembly.
UCCGGUGUGGUUUAGUUGGUCAUAACACCGUAGUAGUCCUCCACCUCGGGAUGAACCGGAAACCCGAGUUCGAUCCUCGGCGCCGGAC